CCCUUAGAUGGUCUGGGCGGCACGCGCGCUACAAUGAUGCAUUCAAAAAGUCUCCUGACCUUAGAAGGUUGGGUAUUCUCCAAAGUGCAUCGUGAUGGGAAUAGUUUAUUGCAAUUUUUAAUCUUGAACGAGGAAUUCCUAGUAAGUACAGGUCAUCAACUUGUGUUGAUUACGUCCCUGCCCUUUGUACACACCGCCCGUCGCUCCUACUGAUUGAGUGUCUCGGUGAAUUCUUUGAUCUUCUGUCGAUUCAGUUCACUGAUCCGACGGUGGAAAGUUGAAUGAACUUCGUCACUUAGAGGAAGGAGAAGUCGUAACA
RNAcentral lists this ribosomal RNA (319 nucleotides) under uncultured eukaryote. Its description in RNAcentral is "partial 18S ribosomal RNA". It matches the Rfam family "Eukaryotic small subunit ribosomal RNA", at positions 1470 to 1796 of the family's 1831-position model. The record is from RNAcentral.